This 253-nucleotide ribosomal RNA is filed under the name uncultured bacterium. RNAcentral describes it as "partial 16S ribosomal RNA". It matches the Rfam family "Bacterial small subunit ribosomal RNA", at positions 524 to 776 of the family's 1533-position model. The record is from RNAcentral.
UACGUAGGUGGCAAGCGUUAUCCGGAUUUACUGGGUGUAAAGGGCGUGUAGACGGCGACGCAAGUCUGGAGUGAAAGCCCGGGGCCCAACCCCGGGACUGCUCUGGAAACUGCGUCGCUGGAGUACGGGAGGGGCAGGCGGAAUUCCUGGUGUAGCGGUGAAAUGCGUAGAUAUCAGGAGGAACACCGGCGGCGAAGGCGGCCUGCUGGACCGUGACUGACGUUGAGGCUCGAGAGCGUGGGGAGCAAACAGG